AUCAGCGACCCUGUGGAGGGGUGGCAGAGUGGUCGAAUGCGCCGGUCUCGAAAACCGGUAUGGGUGCAAGCUCAUCGUGGGUUCGAAUCCCACCCCCUCCGCCACUACUUCCAAAGAAUAGAUUCUCUGACGCAUAGAGCCUUGGGCGAAA
RNAcentral lists this small RNA (151 nucleotides) under Paramagnetospirillum magnetotacticum MS-1. RNAcentral describes it as "Magnetospirillum magnetotacticum MS-1 sX4". The stretch from base 15 to 101 matches the Rfam family "tRNA". From Rfam's summary of the family: Transfer RNA (tRNA) molecules are approximately 80 nucleotides in length. Their secondary structure includes four short double-helical elements and three loops (D, anti-codon, and T loops). Lineage: Bacteria; Pseudomonadati; Pseudomonadota; Alphaproteobacteria; Rhodospirillales; Magnetospirillaceae. The record is from RNAcentral.